Molecule: long non-coding RNA, 924 nt
Organism: Saccostrea echinata
Lineage: Eukaryota; Metazoa; Mollusca; Bivalvia; Ostreida; Ostreidae
Exons: 3
Source: RefSeq, a predicted model, not a curated record
GAAGAUUACGGAGCAACAUGCUCAGCAAAUCUUCUCCAUCUGGUCAAGUAUAGAUCCAGAUUUGGAUAUAAAGACACUACUGUCAGCAUCCAACAUCCGUGACAAGUGGUUGCCCAUGGCAAGGACAAGAUUCGCACCAGGGACAGUUAGGUCUUAUCUUGGUAAAAUUUUAUUAACCUCUACUGAAAACAAGUUGAUAAAACAUUUCUAAAAGUUGUUGAUUGUACAUUUUUUCUCAAUGUUAUUUCUUAAGGAUCACUUAAGGAUUUUGUUGAUUUUCUGGUUGACACGGGGGAGUUGGAGAGAACGGUAUCCACGGCCCUAACAGAAAAAUUUAAGCGUUGGGCAAGGGCCCUGCAGAUAGAUAUCCAAAAGAGGAGAGUAGAAAAAAGAGCGGAAGAUGAUGUAGAGAGAAAAGAGCCAGAGGACAUAGUAGAAUUUCAGAAGUCUAACAUCUAUACUGAAGCAGUUGAAAUGUUUAAGGAUAUGGAGGAGGAUUAGGGUCAAGGGGACUUACAGGAAGAGAACUUUUUGUUAGUGAGGAAUUUCCUCAUGUUGAAUCUCUUGAUAAAUAAUGGGCAAAGGGUGGAUGCCUUAGUUAACCUUAAAAUCAGGCACAUCAAGAAUGCUGAGGAAAAAGACAAUAGCCAUGUGGCAGUUAUUGCACAUCACAAGACUGGCCAUAUAGCACCCAUUACCCUCGUUUUUUCCGAGGAUCUCUUGACGUUCAUGGAAAUCUACUUGUCCAAGAUCAGACCGUGGUUGUCCGGCUUCAACAGUGAGCUCGAGGAGAAGUCGGUGGUUUUUCUGACGUACCCACCAAAGACAGCCAGCCCCUCUGCUUUGAACCCAUCCUCGGUGAAUAAAGCCAUCAAAUCAACUUGGAAGCCCGCAGAGCAAACAAAGAACAUUUCGGCAACUCAG